CAGUCGAACGAAACUUCUUUAUCACCGAGUGCUUGCACUCACCGAUAAAGAGUUGAGUGGCGAACGGGUGAGUAACACGUGGGCAACCUGCCCAAAAGAGGGGGAUAACACUUGGAAACAGGUGCUAAUACCGCAUAACCAUAGUUACCGCAUGGUAACUAUGUAAAAGGUGGCUAUGCUACCGCUUUUGGAUGGGCCCGCGGCGCAUUAGCUAGUUGGUGGGGUAAAGGCUUACCAAGGCAAUGAUGCGUAGCCGAACUGAGAGGUUGAUCGGCCACAUUGGGACUGAGACACGGCCCAAACUCCUACGGGAGGCAGCAGUAGGGAAUCUUCCACAAUGGGCGAAAGCCUGAUGGAGCAACGCCGCGUGGGUGAAGAAGGUCUUCGGAUCGUAAAACCCUGUUGUUAGAGAAGAAAGUGCGUGAGAGUAACUGUUCACGUUUCGACGGUAUCUAACCAGAAAGCCACGGCUAACUACGUGCCAGCAGCCGCGGUAAUACGUAGGUGGCAAGCGUUAUCCGGAUUUAUUGGGCGUAAAGGGAACGCAGGCGGUCUUUUAAGUCUGAUGUGAAAGCCUUCGGCUUAACCGGAGUAGUGCAUUGGAAACUGGGAGACUUGAGUGCAGAAGAGGAGAGUGGAACUCCAUGUGUAGCGGUGAAAUGCGUAGAUAUAUGGAAGAACACCAGUGGCGAAAGCGGCUCUCUGGUCUGUAACUGACGCUGAGGUUCGAAAGCGUGNGUAGCAAACAGGAUUAGAUACCCUGNUAGUCCACGCCGUAAACGAUGAAUGCUAAGUGUUGGA
This 801-nucleotide ribosomal RNA is filed under the name uncultured bacterium. RNAcentral's name for it is "bacterial SSU rRNA". It matches the Rfam family "Bacterial small subunit ribosomal RNA", at positions 59 to 827 of the family's 1533-position model. The record is from RNAcentral.